Molecule: ribosomal RNA, 253 nt
Filed under: uncultured bacterium
Lineage: Bacteria
Description: partial 16S ribosomal RNA
Rfam family: Bacterial small subunit ribosomal RNA
Source: RNAcentral
UACAGAGGUCUCAAGCGUUGUUCGGAUUCAUUGGGCGUAAAGGGUGCGUAGGUGGCGAGGCAAGCCAGAUGUGAAAUCCCGGGGCUCAACCCCGGAACUGCAUUUGAAACUGCCUUGCUCGAGUACUGGAGAGGAGACUGGAAUUUACGGUGUAGCAGUGAAAUGCGUAGAUAUCGUAAGGAAGACCAGUGGCGAAGGCGAGUCUCUGGACAGUUACUGACACUGAGGCACGAAGGCCAGGGGAGCAAACGGG